AAUCGCCAUGUAAUCUUGUGGCUGGAAUGAACGGUUUUACAAAUCUUCCACUGUCUCAGCUUUACCCCUACUGAAAUUGAAUAUGCUGUGAAGAUGCAGCUUAUACUUGGAAGGACGAGAAGACCCCGUUGAGCUUAACCUCCCUCCUUUACCUCCAUUUAAAGCCUUAGGGAGACACGAGUACUGAGGGGAGAGGGGUUUGGUUGGGGCGACCACCUAAAUAGUAGUAACUUAGGUAAACUAAGGUUAAUUACCAAUAUAGUAAGCUUGAUUAAUAGACCGAUAGGUUAGUUAGAUAGCAGUUAUAGCUAAGUUAUAGUGACCCUCCGUUCUAUGGAGAAAUUAGAUAAAAGUUACCACGGGGAUAACAGGGUUAUCUGGCUACAAAGUCCAUAUUGAAAGCUAGGUUUGCCACCUCGAUGUUGAA
This 427-nucleotide ribosomal RNA is filed under the name Chironex fleckeri. RNAcentral's name for it is "partial large subunit ribosomal RNA". It matches the Rfam family "Bacterial large subunit ribosomal RNA", at positions 1967 to 2536 of the family's 2925-position model. Lineage: Eukaryota; Metazoa; Cnidaria; Cubozoa; Chirodropida; Chirodropidae. The record is from RNAcentral.